UACGUAGGGACCAAGCGUUGUUCGGAUUUACUGGGCGUAAAGGGCGCGUAGGCGGCAAUUCAAGUCAGCUGUGAAAUCUCCGGGCUUAACUCGGAACGGUCAGCUGAUACUGCUUUGCUAGAGUGCAGAAGGGGCAAUCGGAAUUCUUGGUGUAGCGGUGAAAUGCGUAGAUAUCAAGAGGAACACCUGAGGUGAAGACGGGUUGCUGGGCCGACACUGACGCUGAGGCGCGAAAGCCAGGGGAGCGAACGGG
This 253-nucleotide ribosomal RNA is filed under the name uncultured bacterium. RNAcentral describes it as "partial 16S ribosomal RNA". It matches the Rfam family "Bacterial small subunit ribosomal RNA", at positions 524 to 776 of the family's 1533-position model. The record is from RNAcentral.